ACAGCGUGGAGCAUGUGGUUUAAUUCGAAGCAACGCGAAGAACCUUUACCAGGUCUUGACAUCCCGAUGCUAUUCUAGAGAUAGAAAGUUACUUCGGUACAUCGGUGACAGGUGUGCAUGGUUGUCGUCAGCUCGUGUCGUGAGAUGUUGGGUUAAGUCCCGCAACGAGCGCAACCCCUAUUGUUAGUUGCCAUCAUUCAGUUGGGCACUCUAGCGAGACUGCCGGUAAUAAACCGGAGGAAGGUGGGAUGACGUCAAAUCAUCAUGCCCCUUAUGACCUGGGCUACACACGUGCUACAAUGGUUGGUACAACGAGUUGCGAGUCGGUGACGGCGAGCUAAUCUCUUAAAGCCAAUCUCAGUUCGGAUUGUAGGCUGCAACUCGCCUACAUGAAGUCGGAAUCGCUAGUAAUCGCGGAUCAGCACGCCGCGGUGAAUACGUUCCCGGGCCUU
This 452-nucleotide ribosomal RNA is filed under the name uncultured Streptococcus sp. RNAcentral describes it as "bacterial SSU rRNA". It matches the Rfam family "Bacterial small subunit ribosomal RNA", at positions 925 to 1382 of the family's 1533-position model. The record is from RNAcentral. Lineage: Bacteria; Bacillati; Bacillota; Bacilli; Lactobacillales; Streptococcaceae.